Molecule: ribosomal RNA, 454 nt
Filed under: uncultured bacterium
Lineage: Bacteria
Description: bacterial SSU rRNA
Rfam family: Bacterial small subunit ribosomal RNA
Source: RNAcentral
AACGAACGCUGGCGGCAGGCCUAACACAUGCAAGUCGAACGCGUGUAGCAAUACACGAGUGGCGCACGGGUGAGUAACACGUGGGAAUCAACCCAGAGGUUCGGAAUAACCGCGGGAAACUGCGGCUAAUACCGGAUAUCCCCUACGGGGGAAAGAUUUAUCGCCUUUGGACGAGCCCGCGUCCGAUUAGCUAGUUGGUGAGGUAACGGCUCACCAAGGCUACGAUCGGUAGCUGGUCUGAGAGGAUGACCAGCCACACUGGAACUGAGAUACGGUCCAGACUCCUACGGGAGGCAGCAGUGGGGAAUAUUGGGCAAUGGAGGCAACUCUGACCCAGCCAUGCCGCGUGGGUGACGAAGGUCUUCGGAUUGUAAAGCCCUUUCGGCGGGGACGAUGAUGACGGUACCCGCAGAAGAAGCCCCGGCUAACUUCGUGCCAGCAGCCGCCGUAAUAA